This 356-nucleotide ribosomal RNA is filed under the name uncultured bacterium. Its description in RNAcentral is "bacterial SSU rRNA". It matches the Rfam family "Bacterial small subunit ribosomal RNA", at positions 443 to 793 of the family's 1533-position model. The record is from RNAcentral.
GGUAGUGUAGUUAAUAGCUGCAUUAUUUGACGUUAGCGACAGAAGAAGCACCGGCUAACUCCGUGCCAGCAGCCGCGGUAAUACGGAGGGUGCGAGCGUUAAUCGGAAUUACUGGGCGUAAAGCGCAUGCAGGUGGUUUGUUAAGUCAGAUGUGAAAGACCCGGGGCGUCAACCUCGGAAUAGCAUUUGAAACUAGGCAGACUAGAGUACUGUAGAGGGGGGUAGGAAUUUCAGGUGUAGCGGUGAAAUGCGUAGAGAUCUGAAGGAAUACCGGUGGCGAAGGCGGCCCCCUCGGACAGAUACUGACACUCAGAUGCGAAAGCGUGGGGAGCAAACAGGAUUAGAUACCCUGGUAG